This 728-nucleotide ribosomal RNA is filed under the name Streptomyces sp. RNAcentral's name for it is "bacterial SSU rRNA". It matches the Rfam family "Bacterial small subunit ribosomal RNA", at positions 137 to 876 of the family's 1533-position model. The record is from RNAcentral. Lineage: Bacteria; Bacillati; Actinomycetota; Actinomycetes; Kitasatosporales; Streptomycetaceae.
UCUGGGACAAGCCCUGGAAACGGGGUCUAAUACCGGAUAUUGACCACCUUGGGCAUCCUUGGUGGUGGAAAGCUCCGGCGGUGCAGGAUGAGCCCGCGGCCUAUCAGCUUGUUGGUGAGGUAACGGCUCACCAAGGCGACGACGGGUAGCCGGCCUGAGAGGGCGACCGGCCACACUGGGACUGAGACACGGCCCAGACUCCUACGGGAGGCAGCAGUGGGGAAUAUUGCACAAUGGGCGAAAGCCUGAUGCAGCGACGCCGCGUGAGGGAUGACGGCCUUCGGGUUGUAAACCUCUUUCAGCAGGGAAGAAGCGAAAGUGACGGUACCUGCAGAAGAAGCGCCGGCUAACUACGUGCCAGCAGCCGCGGUAAUACGUAGGGCGCAAGCGUUGUCCGGAAUUAUUGGGCGUAAAGAGCUCGUAGGCGGCUUGUCACGUCGGUUGUGAAAGCCCGGGGCUUAACCCCGGGUCUGCAGUCGAUACGGGCAGGCUAGAGUUCGGUAGGGGAGAUCGGAAUUCCUGGUGUAGCGGUGAAAUGCGCAGAUAUCAGGAGGAACACCGGUGGCGAAGGCGGAUCUCUGGGCCGAUACUGACGCUGAGGAGCGAAAGCGUGGGGAGCGAACAGGAUUAGAUACCCUGGUAGUCCACGCCGUAAACGGUGGGCACUAGGUGUGGGCAACAUUCCACGUUGUCCGCGCCGCAGCUAACGCAUUAAGUGCCCCGCCUGG